This 253-nucleotide ribosomal RNA is filed under the name uncultured bacterium. RNAcentral's name for it is "partial 16S ribosomal RNA". It matches the Rfam family "Bacterial small subunit ribosomal RNA", at positions 524 to 776 of the family's 1533-position model. The record is from RNAcentral.
UACGUAGGGGGCAAGCGUUGUCCGGAAUCAUUGGGCGUAAAGCGCGCGUAGGCGGCCCGGUAAGUCCGCUCUGAAAGUCCAGGGCUUAACCCUGGAAAGCGGGUGGAUACUGCCGGGCUUGAAUCCGGAAGAGGCGAGUGGAAUUCCUGGUGUAGCGGUGGAAUGCGCAGAUAUCAGGAGGAACACCAAUAGCGAAGGCAGCUCGCUGGGACGGUAUUGACGCUAAGGCGCGAAAGCGUGGGGAGCAGACAGG